This is a long non-coding RNA of Arabidopsis thaliana (thale cress), 731 nucleotides long. RefSeq annotates it as other RNA. NCBI's taxonomy places the organism in Eukaryota, Viridiplantae, Streptophyta, Magnoliopsida, Brassicales, Brassicaceae. The record is from RefSeq. The transcript has a single exon.
CAAAUGGUAGAUCUGAUCAACCUCAAGAAGAAUCGGCUCAACCACAUCGUGACGGAUCAUCUCAAAGUUAGGGUUACUGAAAUGGUGCAUAACGUUCUCUUUCCUUCCAGUGAAGAAAUUAUCAACAACAAUCACAGUAUCUCCUCUAGCCAUCAAACGAUCCACGAGAUGCGAUCCAACGAAUCCAGCACCACCGGUCACAACCACUCUUAGCCCUUUGCGUUUCAAUCCCAGUGGGAUUUUCCCGCCUGUUGCUCCGAUCCGGUUCAGGUACUCGAGGCUAGGUUUCCUCUGAGCUUGUAUAGCCGGAACGUACGAUUCGUCGGGUCGGAUUCCGUAACCGGAGAAAGGAUCCGAGUAAGGGGUUGAUUGUGUGGAGCGAGGGAAAAUUGUGAAAACCAAAGUAGCGAUUGCAAUGCCAACGAGAACGAAGAUAAGUCUCUGUUCACGGAGCAUGUAACGCAUCGGACGAGUCACCGUGAACCAUGGUUUGAUUGGUUUCGGGUAAUAAGCAUCGGCGGUUGGUUGAUCCGUCUCGUGUCGCCGAUUGAUCAGCUCGCUCGCCAUCUCCAAACCUCACAAAUUGAAUUCUAGAUCUAGAAUCGAAAGAUAGAAAACCAAAAUCGAUCAAUCGUUAAGAAGAAAUUUUAUUUUUCUAGGAAAAAAUCAAUCACCGAGUCGAACUCGCCGGGAACUGAGUCGGACCUUGAACGAGAGAGUGAAAAGCGAAU